CGGUGAUAUAAAUUUAACAGCUGCGGUAUUUUAACUGUACUAAGGUAGCAUAAUAAUUUGCCUUAUAAAUUGAGGCUAGAAUGAAUGGUUUGACGAAGGUUUAUCUGUCUCUAUUUUAUUUAUUAGAAGUUAAUUUUUUAGUGAGAAAGCUAAAAUAUUUUUAAGGGACGAGAAGACCCUAUUGAGCUUGAAUUUAAUUAUAUUAUUUUAAUAAUAUUUUGAUAAAUUUUAAUUGGGGUGAUUAAGGAAUAAAAAUUUAUAUAUUAUGUAGAUAACUUCCUUAAUUAAAUAAUACUGUUAGGUUAAGUAACCAAUAAUAUUGCUUAUAAUAAAGUUACCAUAGGGAUAACAGCGUAAUUUAUUUAGAGAGUUCUUAUUGAAAAAUGAGAUUGCGACCUCGAUGUUGGAUUAAAGUAACCUUAAGGUGCAGAAGCUUUAUAUGGUAAAUCUGUUCGAUUUUUAAAACUUUACGUGAUCUGAGUCCAGACCGGA
RNAcentral lists this ribosomal RNA (492 nucleotides) under Acanthosepion aculeatum. Its description in RNAcentral is "partial large subunit ribosomal RNA". It matches the Rfam family "Bacterial large subunit ribosomal RNA", at positions 1864 to 2620 of the family's 2925-position model. The record is from RNAcentral. Lineage: Eukaryota; Metazoa; Mollusca; Cephalopoda; Sepiida; Sepiidae.